This 546-nucleotide unclassified non-coding RNA is filed under the name Hevea brasiliensis (rubber tree). Lineage: Eukaryota; Viridiplantae; Streptophyta; Magnoliopsida; Malpighiales; Euphorbiaceae. The record is from RNAcentral.
GGUGUGUCCCCUCAGGGUAGACCUGCAUAUUCAACAAGUACAUUGUCCUAAUAAAAACUCAGAAAUUAAAAAAACUAUGGGUGAAGAUUUGAAAAAUAUCAGUGGGAUCAGAAAAACAAAAUCAAAUGGUGGCAAGGAACAAUAUUUUCCAGGGUAAGUUGAAAAACCACAUUGUUAAUUUCAAUCAAACACUAAAAAUCUGCCCUCUAGUAAUCAGCGCCUCUUCCCCAGUUACGAUCAAUGAAAAAGCAACAAACACCCUUGCAUGAGAGGCCAGAAGAAUUAAAGUGCCCCAAAAGAAUGUAAAACAUUACAAACACAAGGCAAAAAAUAGUUAGUAAUUGGAUGAAUGUCUGGAUGCCAGUAGCUGUCACAGUACCAAACCCCACAUAAAUGAUUAAGCCAAGGUAUCGUCCACUCAACAAGAACAAAAAGCUUAAAAAGACUUAUUAAUAAAUUAGUAUAGGAUCAUGGAGACUUUGACGUUGUUCCGUUAUUAUUAUUUUUUACUAUUGUUUUCAUUGUCUAGUGAGCCUUUUUUUUUUU